This is a long non-coding RNA of Achroia grisella, 867 nucleotides long. RefSeq lists it as uncharacterized. The record is from RefSeq and is a predicted model, not a curated record. The transcript has 4 exons. NCBI's taxonomy places the organism in Eukaryota, Metazoa, Arthropoda, Insecta, Lepidoptera, Pyralidae.
AAUUUGGAAUUGUAUUAAAAUUUAUCAUCCCGUCUAAUUUGCUAUAAUUGAAAUUAUUUUUGUAUUUCUCCAAAAAAUAUGAGUAUGAAAUUAUUGUGGAAUUGUGCUAGGAUAAUCUUGCUAUCGGGAUUAUCUUUUGGCAUUUAAAGUUCACUAAGCAGCUGCUGCUGUAGCCUAGCUGUGGAUAUUCUAUAAUCAGCGGAUCUCUAUGGGUAUUACAGCAGCAACUCUACCAUUUUGAACGGCGAGAUCACUACAACUAAAGUUCAUUUGUCGUCUAGCACUGACUUUACCAAAUUGUUGUUUGCAUUAAGCUUUAAAUGGUUAAAUUUUCACUAGGACCAAGAUGAUUAUCUUCAAUAACUGAUAGUGUCUUAUGAUUUGCAUAUCACUUUUAAGCUUGAUUAGUGUAACAACUUUAGUGCUUUGUCUGCCUCUCUGCGCACACAAAUUGAUGAUAAGAAGGUGCUCCUGCCCAGCCAAUCCUCUUUGUCCUGAAUGUGGAAUGUCCUAUUGAUUGAAAAUUAUUACCAUUUGACGCCUGUACCACUCUGCAAGUAAAUAUUUAAUAAUCAAAUUUGCUACCGUUCAAGAUCUAGGAAUUUGUGCCAAAAAGCUACAAGUCUAAAGCAAUUCAUAUAUAAUAUUCUUUAACACUAAUUCUAACUGCAUUAUAUUUGAAUCUUAUAUUAAUUGCCUAUUGGUAGAUCUGUAUCAACAAUGAUUUGCAUGACUUGCGCCACAGCCUUGACUGCAGCCGGCAUUAUUGCGAUGGGGCCUUUGUUAUGCGAGAAAUUCCUACACUGUAUGUCCAAAUCGAAGAAAUAAUACGUCAAAAUGUAAUUAAUUGUGUUGAAUAUGAAUAAA